This 460-nucleotide ribosomal RNA is filed under the name uncultured bacterium. RNAcentral's name for it is "partial 16S ribosomal RNA". It matches the Rfam family "Bacterial small subunit ribosomal RNA", at positions 338 to 795 of the family's 1533-position model. The record is from RNAcentral.
CCUACGGGGGGCAGCAGUGAGGAAUAUUGGUCAAUGGACGAGAGUCUGAACCAGCCAAGUAGCGUGAAGGAUGACUGCCCUAUGGGUUGUAAACUUCUUUUAUAUGGGAAUAAAAUGUUCCACGUGUGGGAUUUUGUAUGUACCAUAUGAAUAAGGAUCGGCCAACUCCGUGCCAGCAGCCGCGGUAAUACGGAGGAUCCGAGCGUUAUCCGGAUUUAUUGGGUUUAAAGGGAGCGUAGGUGGAUUGUUAAGUCAGUUGUGAAAGUUUGCGGCUCAACCGUAAAAUUGCAGUUGAAACUGGCAGUCUUGAGUACAGUAGAGGUGGGCGGAAUUCGUGGUGUAGCGGUGAAAUGCUUAGAUAUCACGAAGAACUCCGAUUGCGAAGGCAGUUCACUGGACUGCAACUGACACUGAGGCUCGAAAGUGUGGGUAUCAAACAGGAUUAGAUACCCGUGUAGUC